CAGAAAAACAGUGUGGUUUUUGUGAAUGAAGAUUAAAUUUUCAAAUAUUUUAACCUGAUACAGUGAUUAUUAUGUAGCGAAGCUUAUUUAUAUGAUUCCAGUAUGUGAAGUAUAAGAGUAUACAGUAACUUUAUAGAGGAACACUGCUCAGCCCUUGUAUUAUAUACACGA
This is a long non-coding RNA of Mytilus californianus (California mussel), 171 nucleotides long. RefSeq lists it as uncharacterized. The record is from RefSeq and is a predicted model, not a curated record. NCBI's taxonomy places the organism in Eukaryota, Metazoa, Mollusca, Bivalvia, Mytilida, Mytilidae. The transcript is spliced from 2 exons.